GAAGAACGCUGGCGGCGUGCCUAAUACAUGCAAGUUGAGCGCUGAAGGUUGGUACUUGUACCAACUGGAUGAGCAGCGAACGGGUGAGUAACGCGUGGGGAAUCUGCCUUUGAGCGGGGGACAACAUUUGGAAACGAAUGCUAAUACCGCAUAAAAACUUUAAACACAAGUUUUAAGUUUGAAAGAUGCAAUUGCAUCACUCAAAGAUGAUCCCGCGUUGUAUUAGCUAGUUGGUGAGGUAAAGGCUCACCAAGGCGAUGAUACAUAGCCGACCUGAGAGGGUGAUCGGCCACAUUGGGACUGAGACACGGCCCAAACUCCUACGGGAGGCAGCAGUAGGGAAUCUUCGGCAAUGGACGAAAGUCUGACCGAGCAACGCCGCGUGAGUGAAGAAGGUUUUCGGAUCGUAAAACUCUGUUGGUAGAGAAGAACGUUGGUGAGAGUGGAAAGCUCAUCAAGUGACGGUAACUACCCAGAAAGGGACGGCUAACUACGUG
This 497-nucleotide ribosomal RNA is filed under the name uncultured bacterium. RNAcentral's name for it is "partial 16S ribosomal RNA". It matches the Rfam family "Bacterial small subunit ribosomal RNA", at positions 28 to 507 of the family's 1533-position model. The record is from RNAcentral.